Molecule: ribosomal RNA, 253 nt
Filed under: uncultured bacterium
Lineage: Bacteria
Description: partial 16S ribosomal RNA
Rfam family: Bacterial small subunit ribosomal RNA
Source: RNAcentral
UACGGAGGGUGCAAGCGUUAUCCGGAUUCACUGGGUUUAAAGGGAGCGUAGGUGGGUUGGUAAGUCAGUGGUGAAAUCCCCGAGCUUAACUUGGGAACUGCCAUUGAUACUAUCAGUCUUGAAUACUGUGGAGGUUAGCGGAAUAUGUCAUGUAGCGGUGAAAUGCUUAGAUAUGACAUAGAACACCAAUUGCGAAGGCAGCUGGCUACACAUAUAUUGACACUGAGGCUCGAAAGCGUGGGGAUCAAACAGG